GAUUGAGAGCUUGCUCUCAAGAAGUUAGCGGCGGACGGGUGAGUAACACGUGGGUAACCUGCCCAUAAGACUGGGAUAACUCCGGGAAACCGGGGCUAAUACCGGAUAAUAUUUUGAACUGCAUGGUUCGAAAUUGAAAGGCGGCUUCGGCUGUCACUUAUGGAUGGACCCGCGUCGCAUUAGCUAGUUGGUGAGGUAACGGCUCACCAAGGCAACGAUGCGUAGCCGACCUGAGAGGGUGAUCGGCCACACUGGGACUGAGACACGGCCCAGACUCCUACGGGAGGCAGCAGUAGGGAAUCUUCCGCAAUGGACGAAAGUCUGACGGAGCAACGCCGCGUGAGUGAUGAAGGCUUUCGGGUCGUAAAACUCUGUUGUUAGGGAAGAACAAGUGCUAGUUGAAUAAGCUGGCACCUUGACGGUACCUAACCAGAAAGCCACGGCUAACUACGUGCCAGCAGCCGCGGUAAUACGUAGGUGGCAAGCGUUAUCCGGAAUUAUUGGGCGUAAAGCGCGCGCAGGUGGUUUCUUAAGUCUGAUGUGAAAGCCCACGGCUCAACCGUGGAGGGUCAUUGGAAACUGGGAGACUUGAGUGCAGAAGAGGAAAGUGGAAUUCCAUG
This 620-nucleotide ribosomal RNA is filed under the name Pseudomonas aeruginosa. Its description in RNAcentral is "bacterial SSU rRNA". It matches the Rfam family "Bacterial small subunit ribosomal RNA", at positions 70 to 673 of the family's 1533-position model. Lineage: Bacteria; Pseudomonadati; Pseudomonadota; Gammaproteobacteria; Pseudomonadales; Pseudomonadaceae. The record is from RNAcentral.